UGGGGAAUCUUGCGCAAUGGGCGAAAGCCUGACGCAGCGACGCCGCGUGAGCGAUGAAGGCCUUCGGGUUGUAAAGCUCCGUGGGGAGGGAAGAAUAAGGGUUGGCUAAUAUCCAACUCGAUGACGGUACCUCCUUAGCAAGCACCGGCUAACUCUGUGCCAGCAGCCGCGGUAAUACAGAGGGUGCAAACGUUGUUCGGAAUUACUGGGCGUAAAGCGCGUGCAGGCGGCCUUGCAAGUCGGACGUGAAAUCCCACGGCUCAACCGUGGAAGUGCAUUCGAAACUGCGAGGCUGGAGUCCUGGAGAGGAAAGUGGAAUACUCGGUGUAGAGGUGAAAUUCGUAGAUAUCGAGUGGAACACCGGUGGCGAAGGCGGCUUUCUGGACAGGUACUGACGCUGAGACGCGAAAGCGUGGGGAGCAAACAGGAUUAGAUACCCUGGUAGUCCACGCCGUAAACGAUGAGUGCUAGGUGUCACGGGCUUUGACCCUCGUGGU
This 497-nucleotide ribosomal RNA is filed under the name uncultured Pseudomonadota bacterium. Its description in RNAcentral is "bacterial SSU rRNA". It matches the Rfam family "Bacterial small subunit ribosomal RNA", at positions 355 to 844 of the family's 1533-position model. The record is from RNAcentral. Lineage: Bacteria; Pseudomonadati; Pseudomonadota.